AUAGUACAUACUAUCAGGAAGGUAUUAGGAUUGAGUUAUUUAUUUUUUAAUAAAUCACUUGGAUUAAUCAUUCAUUUUGACAGCACAUGUUUAUUGUGUAUUGACAACCAUACAAGGGUAAUUGUUACUAAUCCUGCCCUGGUACACCAAUUUUCUCAUCCAUUGCCCUCACAGAUUCCUACAGCUAAGCUUGGAUGUACAUUUACAUUAAUGUAUAGGUUAUUGAUGACGUGACUCUGAUUUUUGACUUUUGCACCAUUAGAAUACUUAUACGUAACUAACUAGUCAUCAUAUCUUCUGCUCCAUGAAACACAUGUUAAUGCUCAGGAGUACACAUAUAUUCUUUAUCUUUAAUGUAUUUGCAUUGUACUAAAAUGCAUUUAUUUUCAAUGGGCAUAUAUGUGACUGAAAUGGUAGCCUAGUGCAUCUUACAUUUUUCAAUAUUAACAUUUUAAUAUAACAUUUGUCAUUACGGCCUUUAGAAAAAUAUUUUUUUGAGGAGGUGGGGUAUGGCACAAUAUGGUCCGUAUGACGUAAGCUUUUGGCAUUUUCCUUACAUUACUUCUACUUUUAUACUUUAAGUAGUUUUAAAACCAGUACUUUUAUACUUUUACUUGAGUAAAAAGCUUGAGUUGAUACUUCAACUUGUACAAAAGUCUUUUUAAACGCUAGUAUUUAUACUUCUACUUGAGUAAUGAAUGUGAAUACUUUUGACACCUCUGAAACAGAGACACUGAGAGCUGUUGAUGAAGAGCUUCGUGUGUGUCUUUCUUCAAUUCCUGCCAGGAUAUCAGCUCUGUGUUCAUCCAAACAGGCCCAGAUUUCACACUGAGUUCACCGAGCUGUCCACCAUAUUUUACCUCGACCUCCUUCAGCUCCAGGGACCUGACUCCUAAGCCCAGCAGACAAUUACAACAGAAGACAAGCCGUUGGGGUGUUUUUGGAAAGAAUGGACGCCAUGUCCUCCAGACAAAGACAAAAAGGUUCAUCCAGAUUGCUACCAGGAACAGGUUCAACAGCCAGAGUCUGUCAUGGUCUGGGGUUGUGUCAGUGCCCUUGGCAAAGGUCACUUACACUUCUGUGAUGGCUCCAUUA
Molecule: long non-coding RNA, 1095 nt
Organism: Monopterus albus (swamp eel)
Lineage: Eukaryota; Metazoa; Chordata; Actinopteri; Synbranchiformes; Synbranchidae
Exons: 3
Source: RefSeq, a predicted model, not a curated record